UACGUAGGGACCGAGCGUUGUCCGGAUUCAUUGGGCGUAAAGAGCUCGUAGGCGGCUGCUCAAGUCGAAUGUGAAAACUCGAGGCUCAACCUCGAGCCUGCAUUCGAUACUGGGCGGCUAGAGUCUGGUAGGGGGAUCUGGAAUUCCUGGUGUAGCGGUGGAAUGCGCAGAUAUCAGGAGGAACACCGGUGGCGAAGGCGGUCUGCUGGGCAGUUUCUGACACUGAUGCGCGACAGCGUGGGGAGCAAACAGG
This 253-nucleotide ribosomal RNA is filed under the name uncultured bacterium. RNAcentral's name for it is "partial 16S ribosomal RNA". It matches the Rfam family "Bacterial small subunit ribosomal RNA", at positions 524 to 776 of the family's 1533-position model. The record is from RNAcentral.